CAGAGGAGAGAGAAGCAAGGGAAGAGUCAAUGGUGGUGGUCGAAGAAACAGGGCUGGAAAUGGCAACCCUUGAUUCAGGCGCAAGAAAUCGGUGUUUUGCUUUUGCAAUUAGGGAUUGUUAUGUUCGUCAUGCGAUUGCUCCGGCCUGGGAUCCCUUUACCCGGGUCGGAGCCGAGGCAACAGACGACUUUUAUUAGCGUGCCGUACAGUGAGUUUUUGAGCAAGAUUAAUAGUAAUCAAGUGCAGAAA
This 249-nucleotide unclassified non-coding RNA is filed under the name Hevea brasiliensis (rubber tree). The record is from RNAcentral. Lineage: Eukaryota; Viridiplantae; Streptophyta; Magnoliopsida; Malpighiales; Euphorbiaceae.